GCACAGGCUGUCCAGCUAAAUAUAUCACUGAGCACAGAGAAGAGGGGCACUAAAGUUGCAGGUCCUUCCAGUUGUGGCGUAUGGGACACCACCUCAACGUGGCCUGAUGAGCGGUGCCAUGUCCAUGCCCAGGAUCAGAGCCAGCGAAACCCUGGGCCGCCGCAGCGUAGCGCGCGAACUUAACCACUCAGCCACGGGGCUGGCUCCUAAAAUGUGAAUUUUCUUAUUCGUGAGGGAUUAUAUGUUGCUCCAGCCUACACAGCAUUCUUUCACUGAGGAACCACCUCUACAUGUCCACAUUGCUGUGAGAGGAGAGGAUGCUCCCAAGCUAAACAGAGAGGGGCAAGUGAGUUAACUUGACAAAUAAGGGCACACUGUCUCUUGGUGGUGGUAAUUUGUAUAAAGAAACGGAAGAAGAAUCAUGAUCCUGAUUUCCCCUAGGAUUGAAAAAUUGAUAUUCUCUAGUCUCCUGUUUUUCAAAAGUAGACAAUGUAAUAUGGAGCUAAGAACAGUCGUGUCUCAGAGCACUUUGGAAGAGCAUAUCUGCAGAAGGAUAUGAAACCAGUAUGCAAAUAGAAAGGAGAGACUGAAAUAAGAGAUGGAGAAAGAAAAUCAAGAAAUGGAAUGACAUUUUUGAGUGUUUGUAUACAGCUUGUCUGAAGAUAAUUCCACAAAUAAAUUUCACAGUUAUAUGAAUUAAUAAUUUUUUUUAUUUCUAAAUAGUAUUGUCUUGGAUUUGUGUUCAGUAAUAAACACUGGGUUUAUGAAUAACGUACCACUGUGGAAGUAUGGUAAACUCCUAAAGCAAAUGCUCAGAGACACCUUAGGUUAUAUACUGGACAUAUGGGUACAAUAUAUAAAGAUUUAAUCUCUGAAAUUUUGUAUGUGCAGAAAUACAUUAAAAGGAAUUUAAUAGUUGGUAUAUUUCAGACUGCUUACUGUGUGUCAGGCAGUCCUCAAAGCACAGUACAUUUUGACGUCGUUAAUUUUCAUGACAAUGAUAAGGAAGGACUAUUAUGUAGCACUUUCAUAGUGGAAGAAAUUGAAGAACAGAGAGGCUAAGUAACUUGCCCAAUUAACAGAGCUAUCAAGGGACAGAGUGAGAAGGGAGUUCUGGUCUUCUAAUUCCAGAGUCUCAGUGCUUGAUGUUUAAUUACUGUCCCAGCAAGGGGCAUUGGAAGUUAUCUCUUGGGCCUGAUGAAAGUUUCAUUGCCCUAAACUCAUGUCAAAUGCUGGCAAUUUGCCUCAUUAUAAUCUGAAUACCAAGUAAUACUCUAUUUAUUCAAAUGAUAUGCUGCUGUAGGGGAGAGCCUAAUCAUUAGAGUGCAAUCUGUGUAAAUAUAUAUAUUUUCUACAGAAAAAUCUAUGAACAAGAGAUUAAAUAGUGUAAAAGUUUUUAUUACUUAGGAAUGGUAUAUUCUCAAAGGAUUGGUAGAACUCAAAUAUAAUAUCAUUGAGGAUAAUUUUUUUAAUUAAGUGUUGUAUUUAUACACCAUUAUUUACUUAUUCUGAUUUACUGCCUAUUUAUGGUCAUGUUAGCAUACUAUAUUUUUCAUAAAAAUCAUCCCUUUAGGUAACAUUUAAAAAAAAAACUGUUACAUAGCAGAGAAGUAUAUGAGAAGCUUAUUAAUUUACUUUUUAAAAAUAAUAAAACAUGAAAUACAGUCUGAUAAAAAAUUAGGGAAAAAGAGAAAUAUAAAAUUAAAUAAUCUUCAUAUUAAAGAAUAUAAAUAAACACACUGGACUUCCAGUUUCUAGCCCAGUCUGUAAGGAACUUAGAAGUCAUCACUCCCAACCUCACUACAAGUAAAACACUGAACAAGCUGAAAAUUAACAACUCUUCUUAAGUUUUUCAGAGACUUGAUGUCACAGGGCAAACCUGUCCCCAAAAUUUGAGGGAUAGACAGGCAGACAUGUAAAAUUAUAGUUUACUUGGGGCUGGCCCCGUGGCUGAGUGGUUAAGUUCGCGCACUCCGCUGCAGGCGGCCCAGUGUUUCGUCAGUUCGAAUCCUGGGCGCGGACAUGGCACUGCUCAUCAAACCACGCUGAGGCGGCGUCCCACAUGCCACAACUAGAAGGACCCACAACUAAGAAUAUGCAACUAUGUACCUGGGGGCUUUGGGGAGAAAAAGGAAAAAAAAAUAAAAUCUUUAUAAAAAAAAAAAAAAAAAAA
Molecule: long non-coding RNA, 2173 nt
Organism: Equus caballus (horse)
Lineage: Eukaryota; Metazoa; Chordata; Mammalia; Perissodactyla; Equidae
Source: Ensembl